RNAcentral lists this unclassified non-coding RNA (429 nucleotides) under soil metagenome. RNAcentral describes it as "partial contains 5.8S ribosomal RNA, internal transcribed spacer 2, and large subunit ribosomal RNA". The stretch from base 1 to 120 matches the Rfam family "5.8S ribosomal RNA", at positions 35 to 154 of the family's 154-position model. The record is from RNAcentral.
GAUGAAGAACGUAGCGAAAUGCGAUACGUAAUGUGAAUUGCAGAAUUCAGUGAAUCAUCGAAUCUUUGAACGCAUAUUGCGCUCUUUGGUAUUCCGAAGAGCAUGCUUGUUUGAGUAUCAGUAAACACCUCAAAGUCUUUUUUUCUUGAAGAAAAAGACCUUGGACUUGAGCAAUCCCAACUCUUCUUUCAGAAGAGGCGGGUUGCUUGAAAUGCAGGUGCAGCUGGACAUUCUCCUGAGCUAAAAGCAUAGUCAUUUAGUCCCGUCAAACGGAUUAUUACUUUUGCUGCAGCUAACAUAAAGGGAGUUUGACCAUUUUGGCUGACUGAUGCAGGAAUUUCACAAGAGUCUUCAAAACGCUCUUGUUAAACUCGAUCUCAAAUCAAGUAAGACUACCCGCUGAACUUAAGCAUAUCAAUAAGCGGAGGA